This 500-nucleotide ribosomal RNA is filed under the name uncultured bacterium. RNAcentral describes it as "partial 16S ribosomal RNA". It matches the Rfam family "Bacterial small subunit ribosomal RNA", at positions 30 to 523 of the family's 1533-position model. The record is from RNAcentral.
AUUGAACGCUGGCGGCAUGCCUUACACAUGCAAGUCGAACGGCAGCACGGGAGCAAUCCUGGUGGCGAGUGGCGAACGGGUGAGUAAAGUAUCGGAACGUGCCCAGUCGUGGGGGAUAACGUAGCGAAAGUUACGCUAAUACCGCAUACGAUCUAUGGAUGAAAGCGGGGGAUCGCAAGACCUCGCGCGAUUGGAGCGGCCGAUAUCAGAUUAGCUAGUUGGUGGGGUAAAGGCCUACCAAGGCGACGAUCUGUAGCUGGUCUGAGAGGACGACCAGCCACACUGGAACUGAGACACGGUCCAGACUCCUACGGGAGGCAGCAGUGGGGAAUUUUGGACAAUGGGCGCAAGCCUGAUCCAGCAAUGCCGCGUGCAGGAUGAAGGCCUUCGGGUUGUAAACUGCUUUUGUACGGAACGAAACGGCUCUGGUUAAUACCUGGAGCUAAUGACGGUACCGUAAGAAUAAGCACCGGCUAACUACGUGCCAGCCGCCGCAGUAA